UUUAGUAUCGUACUUUAAAAAUUACAAAUAUCUACCUCAAUACCAAAUAGGCCUAAGUGAACUUGACCAUCAUUUAGGGAUCAAUUUAUAAAAUUAGAUAACAAUUGUCAUUACCAAAGGUAUGAUUAACAUGUCCAAGUGUUAUUAAUAAAGUUUUAUUGUAUUUUUAGUACAAUAAUUAUUAUUAUACGUUGUUGUCAAAUGUCAAUAACAUAAUAGAUAAUGAUUUAUAACAUAUCACUCGAAUACAAAAUUUUAAUAGGUGAAGUUAGAUAAUAAGCAAAAUUUUAGUUGAUGAAGCUAGUUAAUAAACGAAACCACUCAAUAACCCAGUAGUAAAAUACAAAUUACAUAUUUUCUCACUUGCGUAGGUAGGACUUUGAAAUCUCUCCUACGCACAACGAAGGUUGAUUUUAUUCAAAAUAUUUGAAAAAUAGAUACAAUCUAUUAUAGAGCUAAGUAUUUUAACUCAUUUAUCAAUAAAUAUUCAAUUUAGGAGUUUUUGAUGAGCUUCAAAACUCAAAAGUUUGAUUCAAGAGGCUUCGGUGGUCCUAGAUAUGGGCUUGCUAAUUGCUAUUGCUGUGCUAUUAUUAGAGAGCUACCAAAAAUUGAAAAACAUAUGAUACUCUUGUAUUGUAUUGCAACAAUAGCAAGAAAGGAUCACACUAGUAUAAAAGGUGUGGGACUGCUGACGUGUAGCGCGUCUGUAUGCGUGUUGACGUGUCAAACUGCUAGUUGUUUACGGGUUGUAAAUUGUAGUCCUCUGCAACUGGCACGCCUUUACCUACCGUGGUCAUUCGUCUUGAGCCGCUUGAAAGUUGAAACCUACCAUUUCUGGGAACAAGUCAUGCAGUGAAUGGCUGGCUACGUGGAACGAUUCGUUUUUUGUUCUAAUUUAGGUAGCGUUUACUUUUUGGAUUGGAUUGGGAAUUCUGGGGAGUGAGAAUCCUAGGAUUGGGAGUGUGGAGUGGGAGUGAGAGUAGGUUGUUUACUUACACUGGAAUGGAAGCAUGGAAUGGAGAUCAGAAUCCAAUUUAUGUGUUUACUUUGUCUUGGAUUGGGAGUAAAUAGUUUCAAAUUACAAUUUUAUCCUUAUUUAAAGAAUUAUAAUUUUUAAUUACAAAACUAAUAAAAAAUAUAUUUAAUGAAUAAUAUUUAUUUUAUUAUAUUUGUAAAUUUAUUAUAAUUAUUAAUAUUCUUAAUUAUGAACAAUAAAUUAUUAAUUGUAAUUUUAAUAUAAAAUGAAAUGUUAUUUUAUUUUAUUUAAUAUAAUUAUAUUAAAUUUAUUAUUAUAUAAAAUAAUAAUAUAAUAUUAUUUAGUACAAAAUUAAUAUUUUCUUAGAAUAAAGUAUUUAUUAUUAUUAUUAAAUAAAUAUAGUACUAUUAUUUUUAAAAUAAAUAUAAUAAUAUUAUAUUUAUUAAUUCUCUAUUAAUAUAAUAUUAUUAUUUUAAAAUAAUUUUAACUUAGAAUCAAUGUAAAUUAUUAUUUAGUUAAAUAUAAUAUUAUUAUUUAAAUAAAUAUAAUAUUAUUAUUUAAAUAAAUAUAAUAAUAUUAUUUAAAUAAAUAUAAUAUUAUUUAUUUUAUUUUAUUAAUUAUAAAACAUAAAAUAAAAAAAAAAGGUAGAAAUGGGAGAGGUGGGAGUGGAUUCCCACUCCCACCUCCCCCAAUGGGAGUCCCACUCCCACUCCCCACUCCAAAAAUGGGUGGGGCCCACGGAGUGGGAUUCCCAAUCCCUCCCCAUUUUAAGUAAGUAAACGCUGGAGUGGGAGGAAUCCACACUCCUCACUCCCACUCCAGCAAGUAAACACAACAUUAGAGGUUGGGCCUUUUCAAGUAAAUCAAACUUCCUAAACUACCCUUAUCCGUCAGAUCAUUGAAUGUCCGAAGUACCCUUAUUAGUUCGCUUCAAUUGCAGAGUAGUCCAUUUAAAUCAAAACGCGGGAUGGGCGGAAAGAUUAGCGAAUGCCUGUCUGUCUCGUGCGUGGCUUUUCGUCUAUUUCAUUGUAGUCGAAGAUAUUCAAUUACCGUACUCAUUCGCUUUCCUUCCAAAUGACGGUUCCCACAAGCCACAUCCUUCAUAGACGCGUGCUCACACGCACGAUCCCAUCACGGGAGAAUUAUAAGUCUUUGCCUUGAUCGGCAUAGCAUUUUUAGGUAGAGAUUUUUCAAGUUAUGAUUUUUACUAAAAAGUUUCUAGUUAUUAUUUAUGAUUAAGAGCUCUUAUUAGAAAUUAGUUUUCUUUUUAUGAUACAUUUAAUCGGAAUAACUUACAAUCUGAUUGGAUUGCAGGAUUUUUUUUAAGAAGAUAAACACCAUUAAAUAAUUUAAUUUUUCAUUUUAGUUGUCUAAUCUAAUAAGUGGAUAUAUUUUUAAAAGUAUAUUACAAA
RNAcentral lists this long non-coding RNA (2388 nucleotides) under Citrus x clementina. RNAcentral describes it as "Citrus clementina (C. clementina) long non-coding RNA (CCLE_LNC004556)". The record is from RNAcentral. Lineage: Eukaryota; Viridiplantae; Streptophyta; Magnoliopsida; Sapindales; Rutaceae.